UAUGGCCGUAUCAUGUUGAAACACUGGUUCUUCUGUGAUCACUGAAGUUAAGCAACAUCUAGCUUUGUCAGUACCUCGAUGGGUUACUGCUUGGGAAUAUCAGGUGCUGAAAG
Acanthosepion pharaonis is the source of this 113-nucleotide non-coding RNA. Lineage: Eukaryota; Metazoa; Mollusca; Cephalopoda; Sepiida; Sepiidae. The record is from the annotation of a GenBank genome assembly.